CUUGACCUCAAGGAGGAAAAAUGGUAUAACUGUCAAAGUGUUUACAAAAGGAACACAUCGCCAAAAACAACAAGAAUGGGUGAGGGCAAGAAUAGAUGUACCAAAUGCCAUAGAGGAAUCUGCAGUUUAAAUGAUCGUGCCCACAUCACCAAUAAAGAAGGUUUCUGAAACAAAGACUUCUCCAUGGAGAUCCAUUUUCUCUGUUAAGAGACAAAUAAUCAAAAAUGAAGCCUCAAAAACUGUUACGGUUAAUGGAACAACACAUUUAUUAGAUCAAUAACUCUUCAAGAAGAUAACCCAUGUACAUUGAUGUCACUCUUUAGACAGAACUUGCAGAACAAGAACAACAGAUAGGGAAUUCAAAUCAAAAUCUCCCAUUGUCUGUUGAAUGAGUUGCAAGAUAUGGAACUCUUAAUUCAAAAAAUACAGCCACUUCAAAUUCAAAUUAGUGGACACAUGGAAGCACUUAGGUCUACAAUUGCAAUAGGGCCAUUAAAGAACAAUCACUGGAUUCAAACUACAGGGACAUUACAGUUCAACUAUAAUCAGUAAUGAAACAACAUUAUCAGAAAGUGACAACCAUGCCUCCAGUCUCUCCUUCAAUGUACCAAAAGAUUAUCUCUUGGAGUAAAAUCCCAAUUAACAUUAUUACCACACAACAAGGAUCUGAAAUUCUCAGUCUGAACAUUGCAUUUACUGACAACAACCACAACACCAAUCUCAAAUGAGAAGAAGAUGGAUUCCAUACUGUAAUUUCAGCUCUAUUUAUCAACUCAAAAUUUUUUGUAUACUUCUGAAAAUUAAUUAUUCCCAAUAGUUAUGUAAAAUUCUGAGGAAAAAAAAUGUUUUCGAAGUAUACACUCUCCUUCCUUUUUAUAUAUGGUUAUAACAAAUAUCAUUCCAAUUUUUAGAAAAAAAACGUUUGUUUUUUUUAAAAUUUUUAUCGUAAAGGAUUUAAACAAAAAUAUAUUCAAAAUGUGAAAGAACAUUUAAGCUUUUGUUGUGCAGCAAUAUUGCUUGUUGUGUGUACAUGUAUAUUAUAUGAAUUUUGCAAACAUUUUCCAUUUGUUACAAAUUAAGACAUGGUUAAACCUUAUCUGCAAUUUUUUGAUACAAUUGUUUGUCCAUUAUUGUUAUCGAUGAACAAUUUUGUGACAUGAUUACUAUUAAAGAAGUAUUGUUAUGGUUAUUAACAUCUUGCAGAUUGGAUUGUGCUUGUAUUUAAUUCAUACCUGAUGUACAUGUGUUGGUUUUUAGUUUGUUUUAUUUUUUUAUCUUAUUACAUGUUGAAACCAAUCUCCAGCACCAUUAAAUUUCAUAUUUAAUUUUCUAGGCCAGCAAACAGAUUUUUGUAAUAUUUAUCACACUUAACUACAUUUUUUUAUUGAAGAAAAUAUGUUUUCCUUCAUCCUAAAGACCCUCUACUUUUUUUUCAUUUCUUUUUUCAGUGUCAAAUAAUGUUUUACAUUACCAUUGUAAGCAUUUCUAACUUUGUAUUCAUUGUGAAAUUCUUUGCAAUAAAACUUGUUAAAUCUCUUAAAUUUCUUUCCACUUUUACCUCUACAAAUAACUUAAGACCUGCAUGCAUUGUGCAAAUUACUCUUAAUUCCCUUUACAAUAUAAAUUAAGAUAUAAACGAAAUUAUAAAUGCAUGGCUAAUAAAAUGAAUAUAAAUGUUUUCACCUGCACAAAACAUCAAUGUUAAUCUGAGAUAACCUAGAACAUUGUUUAUGAAACCAAUAAUUACCUUUUUGCAAAUAUUUUAAAAAUUGAAACCUUUCAUUUUCCAGUAAACAUGGUAAGGCUGUCAAAUCCAACAAAAAAUGGUACACCUUCAUUCUUUGACAUACUUUAUAGAUUUUCUCUUUCCUUUAAUUGUUGUUCAACAGCGUAGAAAAUGUGGUACAGCAAUAACUAAAAAUUUGCAGGUUGUGAGUUUGAAUCCCGCUGGGACUUUCAUUGUAUAAAUUUUUGCCUUAUCCCAUUUCUUUUUCAAAUAGUGUUCAAUUUCAAAAUUCUAAAACAGAGAAAGUAUAUCUCAUGUACAUUACAUAUUAUUAGAUUUAACAGAUGUUCCUUAAUACAGUAACAAACAGCAAAU
This is a long non-coding RNA of Magallana angulata, 2101 nucleotides long. RefSeq lists it as uncharacterized. The record is from RefSeq and is a predicted model, not a curated record. Lineage: Eukaryota; Metazoa; Mollusca; Bivalvia; Ostreida; Ostreidae. The transcript has 3 exons.